Long non-coding RNA from Polistes dominula (European paper wasp), 483 nucleotides. The record is from RefSeq and is a predicted model, not a curated record. Lineage: Eukaryota; Metazoa; Arthropoda; Insecta; Hymenoptera; Vespidae.
UACUAGUGGUGGAGGUGGUAGUGGUGGUGGUGGUGGUUGUGCCGGUACUGGUGGUAGUGGUGGUGGUGGACCGCGGUUCGAUAACCGACAAAUCGCAUCGUUGCAAACCGGCCUGGACCGCAUCGUCGAAUACGCGUGUUCUCUCUCUUAUCCUUCAAUAAAACCGAAGGAGGAAAAGAAAGACAACAUCCUGGUAGUUCUUUACUCGUGGUCAAGGCGACACCUAAAGAAAGGAUCACUCUCAUCGACGGACGACGAGAGUUCUGCCGGCUUAAAUCGGUUCUCCUCUACAAGCGCACAUCCUACGUGCAAAUACGAAGUAAUAAGAAAACUUAGUCAAGAAAUUUCUUCAUCCAUUCGUCGUCGUUCUCUUUGGUCAAAUCAUAAAAAGAAAAAAAAGAAAAAGAAAAAGAAAAAGAAAAAGAAACAUUUCGUCGAUGGAAUAUACCUACGUCACACGUUAUUGGUUCAUCGAAGGAACAA